UACAGAGGUCUCAAGCGUUGUCCGGAAUUAUUGGGCGUAAAGGGCGCGUAGGCGGCCGUUUGCGUCGGAUGUGAAAGCCCGGGGCUCAACCUCGGAACGGCAUUCGAUACGGGACGGCUGGAGACCGGGAGAGGAGAGUGGAAUAGCCAGUGUAGAGGUGAAAUUCGUAGAUAUUGGCUGGAACACCGGUGGCGAAAGCGGCUCUCUGGCCCGGUUCUGACGCUGAGGCGCGAAAGCGUGGGGAGCAAACAGG
Molecule: ribosomal RNA, 253 nt
Filed under: uncultured bacterium
Lineage: Bacteria
Description: partial 16S ribosomal RNA
Rfam family: Bacterial small subunit ribosomal RNA
Source: RNAcentral